CGCGGCGCCGCUCGCCGCCGCCUCCCGCUCCGCCGCCUGGGCCGGGCGGCGCGGCCGCUGCGCUGCGGGAGCUGCCCCGGAGCGGCGCGGGGCUCGUCGGCCGGAAGGUGAGCGAGGAGGCAGCGCGACGGGAGCGGGGAGGGCUGCUGCCGGUGUGUGCCGAUAUCUGCGGAGGAAUGCAUGAGGAACACUGA
This 194-nucleotide long non-coding RNA is filed under the name Junco hyemalis (dark-eyed junco). RNAcentral's name for it is "lncRNA (ENSJHYG00000012133.1)". The record is from RNAcentral. Lineage: Eukaryota; Metazoa; Chordata; Aves; Passeriformes; Passerellidae.